CUGCAGUACUUCGAUCUGUUGACUGCAAGCAAUGAGAAGAGAAUGACGUCGAUGUAGCAGAUCUACAACUCACUGGGGUUAGUGGGCCAGCUCCACAAUACUUUCACCUAGGGGGCUGAAAUGAAUGAGAAAGAACAAAUCAAUUAUGCCAGCUUCUGCAUGAUCUCUUGAAGUUAGACAUGCUGGAUGAUCUCAAAUAUAAGUGACACAAACAGAUUCAGAAAACAAGAAAAAUAAUUUAUUUCGUAGCUAGCAUCUGUGAUGGAAAAUAAGUGAAACAGAGAAUAAUCAGAAAGCAUGUGUGAUGCAGCCUCACAAUUGGUACCAUCACUAAUAAAUAGCUAGGAACAUAACCACUGCACAGAAUCACCAAUCGCCACCAUAAGAAAAUAAAGAAGCUUAUUUUUAGCUUUCAACACUUGCCAACUUAUGUACAGAUCAGCUCAGCAUCCUCUAAUAUAUCUCCCAACUUAUGUACAGAUAAUUAAGUUGUUUCAAAUUAUUGUUUCAGGCUAUGCAAAUAAAUUCAUGGCUAGUAAAAUUUAAAGCAGCUUUCCUUAAAAAGCAGAAGAUGGCUGUACCUAUCCUGCAAGUUAUAUGCCCAUUGCUUACAAAAAUAACUAAUGAAGAUGAUGUUUUCUAUUCUAUAUAAAUGGGCAGCAAGCAAUCAACCUUUUCCAUAAUUGUUUAGGUUGGAAGGUAAAUUUGGCAAGACAAUAAAUUAAUUCAUUGGUUCUUGCAGGAGAAGUCAUAUGACGCUCUUGCAGCAUUCUGCGAGGACAUGGGUGCAGAUAUCCUACCAUAUCUAGAGCCCCUGCAGAUUGGUUGCCUUUGUAGAGUAGUACUCGGAACUUGCAAGAGACGUGUGGCAUGUAUGUAGUAAUUCUGCAUAGCAUACUACUUGGCUUCUAACAGAAUUAAUCUGUACAGAAUCUGCUAUUAUGUUUUUCCCCUACAAUAAAGCAAGUUCCGAAACCCACAAAUCCAAGUCUUAAAAUAAAGAAAUUUCUUUAACCUAUCAAUUGUGCUACUCAAGAAAUUUUUACCUACAAUCUGAGCUCCAAACACAAUUAGGGUAGAUGGAUCAUUUUACAAAUUCCCAAAUACCAGAACAUUGAGUUGAGAUAAAUAAAAAGAAAAUGGCAUUGCAAUCUGAAGGCUUCAAGCUCGGCACCAAAAUAAGUUCCCUUUCUAUCAACUACCUCACUAGUCGAAACAAGCCGAAAUCCAGGCAAUUCAAACUCUAAGUUAAACAUGUUACCCAAUCUCACCAUUUCAGACGUCUAUACAAGUUUAUGGUUGUGACUUGAAUAAGAUAACAAAAAAAUGGAGUCUAUCAAAAUACCAGAACAUGUAGAGUUUUUUUUAGAGCAGAACAUGUAGAAUUGAGAUAUCACUCAGCAUUACACGAGUGACCAUAUGAUUAUCUUGACUCAUCAGAAAAAAGAAACGAAAGCCUAAAUUCUCAGAUAGCAAAUGGCUGUCAAUCCAAUUUACGCACAAGCCUCAAAUAAAGCAAAUCCAUUAACAUGACUCCUCUGCUAUUCAGGAAUUUUUCACCUACAAUCUGAGCUCCAACGCAUCUACGGGAAGGGAGCAACCCAAAAGAAAAGAUGCAGGGAAGGGAGGCACCUACCAAUGGAUCUGCAGCAGAAACUCAAAUCGAAGUCACUGAGAUGCCACACUGCGUGCUCCACCUUGGCUUGCUCCACGGGUGGUGGUUAGCAGCUGGAGGCACCGGGCCCUAGCUUCCUGGUGGACCAGCAGCCAGGUUCUACGGUGGCAGAUGGGCUGGUGGCUGCCUGCGCCGGUAGAGGGCGGGGCUGUGGCAGACCGGAGCAGUCCCCGAUGGCUGGAGCAGGAGGAGAUUUGGGGCACUGAAGCAGGAGGAGAUUUGGAGCACUGGAGAGCAGUGUUGUGUGUUUUGGGGCGGCUGAGCGGGCGAGGCGAGAGUUAGGGGCAGGGCGGGCUAGUUUUCAGGGGAGCUAGAGGGCGGCGGCGGGCAGGACGAAUUUUGGGUGGGUCGGCAGCGCGAUUUGGGAGAAGGGAGAGGCGCGCGGCGGCCGCUAGCGGUCAGGUUCGGCGCCGCGCUUUUUUGGAUUGGGAUUUGGGGGAAGGAGG
RNAcentral lists this long non-coding RNA (2121 nucleotides) under Sorghum bicolor (sorghum). Its description in RNAcentral is "long non-coding RNA (SBIC_LNC003991)". The record is from RNAcentral. Lineage: Eukaryota; Viridiplantae; Streptophyta; Magnoliopsida; Poales; Poaceae.